RNAcentral lists this ribosomal RNA (253 nucleotides) under uncultured prokaryote. RNAcentral's name for it is "partial 16S ribosomal RNA". It matches the Rfam family "Bacterial small subunit ribosomal RNA", at positions 524 to 776 of the family's 1533-position model. The record is from RNAcentral.
UACGGAGGGGGCUAGCGUUGUUCGGAAUUACUGGGCGUAAAGCGCACGUAGGCGGCUUUGUAAGUUAGAGGUGAAAGCCCGGGGCUCAACUCCGGAACUGCCUUUAAGACUGCAUCGCUAGAAUUGUGGAGAGGUGAGUGGAAUUCCGAGUGUAGAGGUGAAAUUCGUAGAUAUUCGGAAGAACACCAGUGGCGAAGGCGGCGACCUGGGCGGAUACUGACGCUGAGGUGCGAAAGCGUGGGGAGCAAACAGG